Molecule: long non-coding RNA, 6884 nt
Filed under: Sus scrofa (pig)
Lineage: Eukaryota; Metazoa; Chordata; Mammalia; Artiodactyla; Suidae
Description: lncRNA (ENSSSCG00000052664.1)
Source: RNAcentral
UUUGAGAUAUGUUCCCUCUAUACCCACUUUGGUAAGAGUUUUUAUCAUGAAUCGAUAAUGAAUUUCAUCAAAUGCUUUUUCUGCAUCUACUGAGAUGAUCAUAUGGUUUUUAUCUUUUCUUUUGUUGAUGUGGUGUAUCAUACUAAUUGAUCUGCAUAUGGUAAAACUUUUGUGACACUGGGAGGAAUCCAAAUUGACUGUGGUGUAUGAUCCUUUUUAUAUGUUGUUAGAUUCAGUUCACUAAUAUUUUGUUGGGAAUUUUUAUAUCUAUAUUCAUCAAACAUAUUAGACUAUAAUUUCCCUUUUUGGUAGUGUCUUUGGUUUUGGUAUCAGGAUGAUGGUGGCUUCAUAAAAUGUUUUGGGACUGUUCCCUCCUCUUAAAUCUUUUGGAAAAGUUUGAGAACGAUUGUUUAAGGUUUUCUUUUAUGUUUGGUAGAAUUCUCCAGUGAUGCCAUCUGGUCUUGGACUUUGGUUUGCAGGGAGGUGUUUUGGGUUUUGUUUUUAAUUUACAUAUUCUAUUUCACUUCUAGUGAUUUAUCUGUUCAAAUUAUCUAUUUCUUCUUGACUGAGUUUUGAUGGAUGUGUCCUUCUAGGAACUUGCUUUUUCUAAGGAAGCAUCUAUAAGCAUAAAUUAAGCAAGAUGAAUAUUUUAUAAUUGGAGACUACACUCAAGUUCAAGGUUCAACUGCCUAACUUUUUAUAGAAAUGACCAUAAUCACUGCAUUUAGACAUUUUCUGUACUAUGUAGCAUAAAAAUUUCCAAAGUUCAUAGAAGCCAAGGAGUCUAGUAACUAAUCUUGUUAUAUAUUAUUGUUAUAUCUUAUCAUAUAUUAUUUGACAUGACCCAGCACUAAUAUAACCUGAGUUCUACUGUUUUCUCAUCAAGCCUAGCACCAUAAAAUUCAAAAGGACUCUUCAGAAACAUUUUUACAGAUAGCAUCAAAGUGAUUUCAGGUCUCCUGAGAAUUUUAAGACUUUUCUUUCCUAGGCAUGUUUUACUUGCUUUUAAUUAUAGAUUCCCUUAUAGCAAACCAACUUUCUUCAAAUCAAGUUUUAGCCUUUUUCAAGAAUAUCCAAAGUAGGAUUCAUCUUCUCAAAACUGGCUAUGCAAAGUAUAAACUUACCUUAAGUUUGCCAAGUAAUAUGUACCUAUAAAUCACUAAGUAGUUAGAUUUGCUUUUUUCAAUCUAACCCAUUAACUUAAAUUUAUUGAACUGAAAUAUCAUAAAAAGUUUAAAAAGCCAACAAAAUAAAAUUUAAACCUAACCAUAAAACGCUGGGUGUGUGUAUUAGGAUGUGUUAGUAUUGCCUCAGCAUCUGAAGGAGAUAUCCUGGUCAAUCUAUUAGGAAACACAUUCAACCAGCACGCCUCUUGACAUUCAGAGGCUAUGCGGUGACCCCAGCUGUGUUUUUAAUAAGGAGUGCAACUGACAAAACUGUAAGCAGCCUUAUUCUAACAGCUAAAUAUAGGCCUAACCCUUCAUGAUCUUAUGUUAAUACUUGGUAUUUACAAUGUAUUUCUUCUGAAUUGAUGUAGCAAACCAACAAAAUGGGUCACCCACCACAUUCCAUCCUUUCCUAAGUCAUUUUCCAACUGCAUUUGUGGUUUUGAGUAAAGCUCCAACCUAAAAGCCUUAAAAUAUCUUCUUGAGUAAUGGUCACAUUCUUUUCCCUUAAAGACUGGGUGAGUGCAACUAGUUUAAAAUAGGUUCAUAUUCCCCAAUAAAUAAGCAUCGGUCCAGAGUAUCAAUCUGACCAGACUUGAAAGAGAGCCACAGAAAACCAAGAAUAUUAAUAGAUGAAAACCAAGAAUAUUAAUAAAAGAUGACGACACUCUUCCCAAGCCCUGGAGCUCAUGUCUAUGCCUCAGGACACAGCUAUUCUCUGCCAGAUGAUUUAGAAAAAUACAAAAUAAAAUUUUUGCAGACUGACCUUUCUCCGGGAUUGAAUCAGUCUGCAGCAAUCUAUAAAUAUUUUCCUGGUCCUCAAGGCAGUUUACAGCUGUAGCAAAUGUCCACAUUUGCUUAGAGCAAGUGGCAGCUGAUCCUAGAAAACUGGAAACCUACAGGUUUUCGACUGGGGGAAGUCUGCCUCAUGUCAGUCAUGUUCUGCCCAGGUAGUCGGCCCAGGCAGGGGCUGCUCUGGUUCAAGAACGUGCUCAUUAAUUCUAGUAUCCAGUCCAUUAUCAAAUCACAACCUGGCAUUUAUCUUUCAUUUCUCCCUACCCCAUUAAAGCAAGAGACAUCUUACGUUGUUAGUGGAUCAUUUUUCUCACAUGAGACAUGUCUUACAGAGAGAUACAUGUGAUGGCAAAAAAGAGAGAACCAGCUUUUUAGUGCAUACAGCUCAAUGACAGAAUGAAAACUAGCAUUACAUAAGUGAAAAGUAAAAAGCUGGGAAAGCAAUGGGAAGAUGAUUACAGAUGGAGGAGAAGCCAGCCUCUAAAUUUCAUCAUGUGCAGCUCAUAGAUUUGAAAUCUCAUGCAGCUGAAGGUUAAAAAUGGAAGCUGAGGCCGUGAUACCUCGCUCCGGGUAAAGCUGCUAGGAGUAGAGGCGAGUCGGAGAAAUUCAAGAUUCUCAUGACCCCGGCAACAUUCGCAUCUCAUCACCAUGAGAACCAUCCCACUGACGGUCUGGAGAGCAUCCGUCACAUCAGCACAGCCUGCCCUGGCUGGAAAGCAUCUCUGUGAUUUAUAGGCAUCGGCAGACGGACUGUGCCCUUUCAGCUCUGCUGGGCGCAUCAGGAACCUCCAGAGUCAUUUUUGCUGCAAGAAAUUUGUGUCGUCUGUUCAAUUCCACCUUUCUGUGAGCUGAAUUCUCAUUAUCUCACACCCCUAGCAAGGAUCUGCCUGUAAGGUUGGAGUGCCUUUUAAGACUUCCCUCUUCCCUCCAAGGAGCGCCUGCGAAACUUACCACAAAGCGACUCUGUAAUUUCCUAUGAGCAUAAGGGAGCAGUUUGAAGCUUUAUUUCUGUUAAAGAACUUGGAAAAUCACAUCUAUUUUAGAGAUUACCAUCUCUGACCUAUUUCCACAGGGUAGUGGAAGCCUCUCCCUCCUUAAAACAACCCCCCCCCAAAUCCAACAUCUCCCUAAUGCAUAGAGGGUUAAGUUCUAACUCCUUGAAUUGAUGUUUUUGGCCCUCCACAAUCUAGCUCAGGAUUUCAUACCCUCAGCACUACUGACAUUUUGGACCAGAAAAGUAUUUAUGUGGGACUGUCCUGUGAAUUAUACAGUACUGGGGAACACUUUGGCCCCUAGAAACCAGAUACCAGCAGCCCCCCCGCCCCUCUCCAGUCGUGACAACCAAACACAUCUCCAGACAUCACCAAGUAUCAUCCCCUGCUGAAAAUCAAUGACCUAACACAAUCCAUCUUGCCAGGAAUUUUUACCAACAGGCCCCCAUAUACAGCUUCUAAGGCAGCAAAACAAAUCUUCAGUUAUAGUUUAGACUAUUGCUAGAUUUUCUCAUUUUCAUUGAUCUUUUUCAAGAUCCACCCUAAAUUCCAAUCUCAAAAAAAAAUUUCUGGGCGUGUCAGUUUGAAUCAGUUUUUUACUAUUAUCAUUAUAUUUGAUUUGCAGUGUUCUGUCAUCUCUGCUGUACAGCAAAGUGACCCAGCCACACACACAUAUGUACAUUCUUUUGCUCAGGUUAUCCUUGUGUUGCAUCACAAGUGACUAGAUAUAGUUCCCUGUGCUGUACAGCAGGAUCUGAUUACUUAUCCAAGAGAGUGUAUUUUUUUAAAAAAAAAUCUUCAUUUUACCCCUAGUGCCACACUUAGUAAUUAUGAGCUCAUAUAAGUCUCUUAAUCUGGUCUAUUUAUCAUUACUUAUUAAGAAUAAUAAUAUCUAGCCUGUGUACCUGGUUAUUCUAAGAAGCAAAUAAGAAGAGGUAAAUGGAGUUUGACAAUUACAAAACAUAAAACAAAUGCCGAGUACUAUCAAGAAACCACGGGGUGCCUUCGGCUCUUUCUCCUUUCCAGUUUUUAGCUCUUGCACCGUGAUUUACACAGCGACAACCUCAGCAAGUCGUCAUUAAAUGAAAGCAAAGAAGAUUCCCAGAUGAAGAGCAUUUGCAACAACGACCAGGAAAAUGUGGCAUUUAAUAAAUAUGUUUAAACUAUUUUAUUAAUUUACUCUUUAAUCACCACUACUUCAGGAAAAGGUAAUCUAACUUCAGAUUCCAUACUUCCUACAGUCAUCAAUUCCUCACACUUAAAAGAGUUCCAUAUAGGACCAACAACUGUUUUGACGACCCCAUCAUCCCCCUCAAAAAAAAAAAAAAUCUGGUAUUUCACAAAGAGACUUGAGACCACUCCUGAGAAUUUAGGAAACAGCAUUAAGACAUAUUUGAAGGAAGAAAAGGGAAUACAGUCAGGUCUGGGAUUAGGAAGUAAGUGCUGGUUCAACCUCUCCUCCGUCUCCUCUAUUCAGCAAACAGCAAACCUCUCCUCUUUUCUUUAUAAAUGUUUGCCUCCUUCGGCAGUGGCAAGACUGUUUAUAAAAGUCCCCAGAGUCAUAGGUAAGUAUGGCUCCAAGGCUGAACUGUCUGCAAAAUCUGCAUCACUGUCCCAGGAAUAUCGUCAUCACUUGAAGAUUCGAUUUUGGGUUGCAGCCAAGUCAUUCCUACAAAAGUUCCUGAAUGACACUGGUACUCAUCUUGGGCACUGUGCUUAGAGAAAGCUGUAAAGUUCAUGUGCAUGAGUCAAACUGUAAUUCCAAAACAGAAGGGGCAACAAUGUUCAUGACAGCAGCCACAUUUAUUAAGUGCUUAACCUCCGAGGUGAUGCUUAUUUUAAAGCAGUAUUCAGCUGUAUGUUUUUGAUAGUUUGUUAUAAAAAUAGUCCUUUUACCUAAUACCAGAGUUCACAUGGGAAAAACCAAGAGGUUAUAUGUACUAUCUUUGAAACAAAAACGAUAUGCUAUGACAUCAAUCCAAUUGCAUUCUGUACUAUAUAUAUAUAUAGGUUUGUUCCUGAAUAAGGUAUAUUUUAACUUCAGUGUCUAUAACUGUGAUUAUCAAUGCUCUUGAAGGAUUUUUUAGUAAAUACUAAACACAGAGCACAAGAUUUUUUUUUCUCAUUUCAACUAUUAAUAACCUAAAACUCCCAUUGAGUUAUUUCACUCAAAAUAGACAUAACCAACACAGAUUAUUAUAAAUAAGCAAAGCAGAUAUAUUUUUAAAUCUUUACCUACUGUUGAAACACAUCUUCCUAAAAUGAAAUGCACACUCUAAAUAUGAUACCUCCAUUUCCUGCUCACAUUAAGCAAUGAAUCCUCAGGGGUGACCCAUUUACAGAAACAGACCUUAGUUCACUGCAAAUUGCAGUCCAGUAUCCUAUUGGCAAAUGAUGGGGAACCAUUUGAGUUGCUGAUCAAAUCUGUACAUAAAUAUACAGAGAUACUCUUGUGGUUUAUAAGUUCUAUCUAGGAUAAGAGCCCUUUAAAAAAAAUCAAUAUGUUUCCUAAUUGAUCCACUAGAAGUUUCACUUUGAUGGAGAGCAGUAGAGUCAAAAAUAGUAUCAGGUUCUUUUUAUUCAGCACUUACAACAGUGGACCAUGAUUCAGAUGCGGUCAGAAAGCAAUCUACUGAGAUUUAGAGCUGGAUUUUAGAGGCUAUUUAUUUGACUUCUAAAGCAGCAAACUUGACAGCUAAUUGAUAACUUGGAAUUGCAGAUGAGUUGCAAAGUUAGGCCAAUUUCCCUGGAGUUAAAGAGAGAGGUUCUUACAAACCCCAGCUUCAGAAUGGAUCUGAAUAAAUAUAUUUCAAAAAUAGGACACGAAAACCAAGUCUUUCAAGUCUGUGUAGGUCUAAUGGGGAGAAAAGGUUCCUUUUUAGCUUCUGAGAUCGACUUUUAAAACACUCAACUAAUGGUCUAUAGACCUUAGAAGGUGGUAUUUGAUGGCUUCUGUAGUGCUUGGUCAAUGUUAUCACAUUUACCACAGCCAGAAGAAUGCUCUUAUAAUACCUCAACAUCAAAAUCAAGAAAGAUCCGAGAGUCUAAAAGCACUUAACUAGGAAAAGAGCAAGUUACAAUGUUCUUGUGUGUGUGUGUCCUUUUUAUGGCCGUAUCUGCAGCAUAUGGAGGUUCCCUGGCUAGGGGUCCCAUGGAACCAAGCCUCGACUGCGGCCUAUACCACAGCUCAUGGCAACACCGGAUCCUUAACCCAUUGAGCAAGGCCAGGGACCGAACCUGCAUCCUCAUGGAUGCUAGUCGGGUUUGUCAACCACUGAGCCAUGACAGGAACUCCUACAAUGCUCUUCUUAUAUAAAAUUGUAUUAGUUUCAAGGGUCAUAUCAACCAAUUAGAGAAUACUUAUAUUCAAUAUACUGCUGAGGAAACGAUUAAAAAUAAGGAAUAUUCUGUCUGUAAUUCAGUCUGUCUCCUCUAGACAUAAAGAUUAUUGUCUUUUCUAGGAGUUAACUCGUUAAGGACAAACGUUUCUGUUGAAGAAAAGAGUCCAAGUUCAAGGGAAAUAAACCCAAUGCAAAAGGCUCAAAUUAGUCGAAAUAAUGUAGCAGCUGCAUUCCCACAGAGCCUGUCAAAUCUGCAAUAUUCUCAUAGUUCAUGGAACUAAAUAACUGUCGCUUUAAAAAGCUGCUAAUAAAAGCUAACACCACCAUGGCCAUUACCAUGUAGCCAGUUCUUUGCUAACUUAUUUACAUCUAUUCAACUCUCUAAACAAAAGGUAGGUACAAUUACAACCUCAGAGGUCACACAGCUGCUAGGUGGCGGAAGCGGGACUGGCCCAUGCUCUCAGCCACCACUGAUGCUGCCUCGGCUAAGACAAGCAACCACCAAACCAUAAGGAAAGAACGGACUCCCAUCCUUUGUAAAUUAGAAAACCUAAGCAAUCACAAAUGGAAGCUUUAUAUCCAAACAACAG